This is a non-coding RNA of Ictidomys tridecemlineatus (thirteen-lined ground squirrel), 1108 nucleotides long. NCBI's taxonomy places the organism in Eukaryota, Metazoa, Chordata, Mammalia, Rodentia, Sciuridae. The record is from RefSeq and is a predicted model, not a curated record.
CCGCCGAGACCGCUGUGCGCCCGAGGGGCCUGCAAAGCCACCGCGGGAGCCACGUGGAGAGAAAGCAGUGACACAUGAGCACAUAUUUCCACGAAUCUUGCAACUGCGUAGGGGGUCUUGCGGUGUCCCGGUGGGAACCUCUCUGUGUCCCACAGAGAACAGGAGCUGCGACGCGAUGUCCCUCUGGGUUCUGAAUGUGCUGUGCCAUUGCACAGAGCAUCGCGUGGAGGUCAUGUAGGUGGGAAGGAGUCCGGCAAGACACUCUGUCCAGGAGUGGCAUAUAGUUAUGUCAUUAUCUCAGUCUGAGGAAGGACCAGACCUGAGACCCACUGCUGCAGAUGAGUGUGAUGCCAGGCAAACCAACAGCAGCACCAGAACAAGCCACACGUCCAGGCAUGAUCACUGGUGAAGUAAGACCUGUAGCCAACCUCAGGAGCUGGUUCAGAGAAGAACGAAGCAGAUGCAGAAAACUCAGUCUGCAGGACAGGGUCACUGUGAGGCCCAUGCAGACUCACUUCCUCCUGUGCCUUGAAGAUGUAAUCUGUGUCCCUUCUGUCAGUGGUUCUCAGGACUGGACAUGUCAUCUGUGCAGCUGCUACAACAAAACACCAAGCUGGACCACUCCUCGAUAUCAGAAGCUUAUUUCUCAUAGUUCUGGAAGCUGAUCAGUCUAAGAGUGAGGCACCACAGAUUAGGAACCUGGAGAGGCCAGCUUCCUGUUCACAGUCUUCACAUGUUGUCCAAGGCCAGGAGCUCUCUGAUAAGAGCAACUGCCCUGCCGGCAUGUGCCAAGGCCUUGGCAAGGUCUGCAUGCAGAUGACUGGACAGCUUCAGAGGAGGUGAUGGAAAUCAGGAGGCAGGAACGUUAACCUGGGAGACAUGUCUGUUUUCAGUUUGCUUGACUUUCAUUUAUGCAACCCUGACAUUGGAAUAAACCUGUUAAAUAUAUUUUAAAAAUGCGACCUCGUGGUAAAACAUGAUACCUCUCUUUAAAGCUCUUUUAAUUGAAUGCACCUGGUGCUUCUCUCUAUCAAUUUAUGUUAAUGCCACACACAGACAAGCAGGACCUAAUUGCAAAUUAAGCAAUAAAGCUGUUUAUAAGAGCAAA